GGAGAGAUACCUAAGUGGACAAAAGGAGCAGACUGUAAAUUUGCCGCGGAAGCUUCGUAGGUUCGAAUCCUUCUCUCUCCA
RNAcentral lists this transfer RNA (81 nucleotides) under Candidatus Portiera aleyrodidarum (primary endosymbiont of Bemisia tabaci). Its description in RNAcentral is "tRNA-Tyr (GTA) (tRNA-Tyr-GTA-1-1)". It matches the Rfam family "tRNA". From Rfam's summary of the family: Transfer RNA (tRNA) molecules are approximately 80 nucleotides in length. Their secondary structure includes four short double-helical elements and three loops (D, anti-codon, and T loops). The record is from RNAcentral. Lineage: Bacteria; Pseudomonadati; Pseudomonadota; Gammaproteobacteria; Johnevansiales (SeqCode); Johnevansiaceae (SeqCode).